This 651-nucleotide long non-coding RNA is filed under the name Homo sapiens (human). Its description in RNAcentral is "HSALNT0342118". Lineage: Eukaryota; Metazoa; Chordata; Mammalia; Primates; Hominidae. The record is from RNAcentral.
CUAUUAUUUUGAAAAGUGCUGUGCAAACAGUGUUCCUCUCAGAUGGUUUCCAGAGUUAGUUCCUUACAAGCAUUUCCUCUUGAAACAUCGGGAAUCUAAAUAAAGAAAGGUGUCUAAUGGUCUAGUCUACCAACUUCACUAUGCUGAUUUAUGAAAGAAUUGCUGAAACCCAGUGAAUAAUAGCAUUUGCCCUUCUUUCUCAAAAAAGCAGCAUUUGCUUUCUUCUGGCAAGGAAUAAUUAAGCUAAUUUCUCCAUGAACCUUGGAAAAAGUGGCAACGAAUAAUGGAUUUGUCCCUCAAAGAACAUUUCAAGCAAACAUCUUAUCAGCUACAAAUUCAUUUGAGGCAGUUCCAGGUCAGCCACAGGCAAUUUUUCUCAUUAAAAUACUGUUUAAACUGUUGUAUCCAGAUGACACAGGAGACAUAUCAGACAAACAACACCUGCAAGAAGAAUUGGUGAAGUAUUGACUUUUCAUCAAUCAAAAAGUUUACUAAGCAGAUGAAAAUAAUUUGCCUUCACAGUGACAUUUUCCUGACGUCUUGCUAGUACUUAAAGGCAUUGUUUUUUCUUUAACACCCAAACUUUAAUUACCAGAAAAGGUUAGCAUCAAAACAAAGGACAUGUUGGUAAUUUAGAGGCCAUAUCAGAAA